This 1318-nucleotide ribosomal RNA is filed under the name Sticta fuliginosa. RNAcentral describes it as "eukaryotic LSU rRNA". It matches the Rfam family "Eukaryotic large subunit ribosomal RNA", at positions 37 to 1375 of the family's 3401-position model. Lineage: Eukaryota; Fungi; Ascomycota; Lecanoromycetes; Peltigerales; Lobariaceae. The record is from RNAcentral.
AGCAUAUCAAUAAGCGGAGGAAAAGAAACCAACAGGGAUUGCCUCAGUAACGGCGAGUGAAGCGGCAACAGCUCAAAUUUGAAAUCUGGCUCCUUCGGGGUCCGAGUUGUAAUUUGUAGAGGGUGUUUCGGGUGCGAUGCCGGUCUAAGUUCCUUGGAACAGGACGUCGUAGAGGGUGAGAAUCCCGUAUGCGACCGGCGAUCAAGCCCGUGCGAAGCCCCUUCGACGAGUCGAGUUGUUUGGGAAUGCAGCUCAAAAUGGGUGGUAAAUUUCAUCUAAAGCUAAAUACUGGCCAGAGACCGAUAGCGGACAAGUAGAGUGAUCGAAAGAUGAAAAGCACUUUGGAAAGAGAGUCAAACAGUACGUGAAAUUGUUGAAAGGGAAGCGCUUGCAAUCAGACCGGUCCGGAGGCGAUCAGCCGCUGCUCGUCAGCGGUGCACUCGCCUGCGAUCCGGCCAGCAUCGGUUUGGGCGGCGGGAUAAAAGUCCCGGGAAUGUAGCUUCCUCCGGGGAGUCUUAUAGCCCGGGUCGCAAUGCCGCCCGCCCGGACCGAGGACCGCGCUUCGGCUAGGAUGCUGGCGUAAUGGUUGCAAGCGACCCGUCUUGAAACACGGACCAAGGAGUCUAACAUCUAUGCGAGUGUUUGGGUGUCAAACCCAGGCGCGGAAUGAAAGUGAACGGUGGGAACCCGUCAGACGGCGCACCAUCGACCGAUCCAGAUGUCUUCGGAUGGAUUUGAGUAUGAGCAUAGCUGUUGGGACCCGAAAGAUGGUGAACUAUGCCCGGAUAGGGUGAAGCCAGAGGAAACUCUGGUGGAGGCUCGCAGCGGUUCUGACGUGCAAAUCGAUCGUCAAAUCUAGGCAUAGGGGCGAAAGACCAAUCGAACCAUCUAGUAGCUGGUUCCUGUCGAAGUUUCCCUCAGGAUAGCAGUAACGUUUUCAGUUUUAUGAGGUAAAGCGAAUGAUUAGAGGCCUUGGGGCUGAAACAGCCUUAACCUAUUCUCAAACUUUAAAUAUGUAAGAAGUCCUUGUUACUUAGUUGAACGUGGACAUUUGAAUGUACCGUUACUAGUGGGCCAUUUUUGGUAAGCAGAACUGGCGAUGCGGGAUGAACCGAACGCGAGGUUAAGGUGCCGGAAUGCACGCUCAUCAGACACCACAAAAAGUGUCAAUUCAUCCAGACAGCCGGACGGUGGCCAUGGAAGUCGGAAUCCGCUAAGGAGUGUGUAACAACUCACCGGCCGAAUGAAUUGGCCUUGAAAAUGGAUGGCGCUCAAGCGUGCUACCCAUACCUCGCCGCCAGGGUAGAAACGAUGCCCU